RNAcentral lists this ribosomal RNA (1383 nucleotides) under uncultured bacterium. Its description in RNAcentral is "bacterial SSU rRNA". It matches the Rfam family "Bacterial small subunit ribosomal RNA". The record is from RNAcentral.
AGAGUUUGAUCCUGGCUCAGGACGAACGCUGGCGGCGUGCUUAACACAUGCAAGUCGAACGGGGCGCUUAUGAUGGAGAUUUCGGUCAACGGAUUAGGCUGCCUAGUGGCGGACGGGUGAGUAACGCGUGGGUAACCUGCCUUGUACAGGGGGAUAACAGUUGGAAACGGCUGCUAAUACCGCAUAAGCGCACAGCAUCGCAUGAUGCAGUGUGAAAAACUCCGGUGGUAUAAGAUGGACCCGCGUUGGAUUAGCUAGUUGGUGAGGUAACGGCCCACCAAGGCGACGAUCCAUAGCCGACCUGAGAGGGUGACCGGCCACAUUGGGACUGAGACACGGCCCAAACUCCUACGGGAGGCAGCAGUGGGGAAUAUUGCACAAUGGGCGAAAGCCUGAUGCAGCGACGCCGCGUGAGCGAAGAAGUAUUUCGGUAUGUAAAGCUCUAUCAGCAGGGAAGAUAAUGACGGUACCUGACUAAGAAGCCCCGGCUAACUACGUGCCAGCAGCCGCGGUAAUACGUAGGGGGCAAGCGUUAUCCGGAUUUACUGGGUGUAAAGGGAGCGUAGACGGCAAGGCAAGUCUGAUGUGAAAACCCAGGGCUUAACCCUGGGACUGCAUUGGAAACUGUCUGGCUCGAGUGCCGGAGAGGUAAGCGGAAUUCCUAGUGUAGCGGUGAAAUGCGUAGAUAUUAGGAAGAACACCAGUGGCGAAGGCGGCUUACUGGACGGUAACUGACGUUGAGGCUCGAAAGCGUGGGGAGCAAACAGGAUUAGAUACCCUGGUAGUCCACGCCGUAAACGAUGGAUACUAGGUGUGGGAGGUAUUGACCCCUUCCGUGCCGCAGUUAACACAAUAAGUAAUCCACCUGGGGAGUACGACCGCAAGGUUGAAACUCAAAGGAAUUGACGGGGGCCCGCACAAGCAGUGGAGUAUGUGGUUUAAUUCGACGCAACGCGAAGAACCUUACCAAGUCUUGACAUCCUGCGACGGACAUAGAAAUAUGUUUUUCCUUCGGGACGCAGAGACAGGUGGUGCAUGGUUGUCGUCAGCUCGUGUCGUGAGAUGUUGGGUUAAGUCCCGCAACGAGCGCAACCCUUAUGGUCAGUUACUACGCAAGAGGACUCUGGCCAGACUGCCGUUGACAAAACGGAGGAAGGUGGGGAUGACGUCAAAUCAUCAUGCCCUUUAUGACUUGGGCUACACACGUGCUACAAUGGCGUAAACAAAGGGAAGCAAAGCUGUGAAGCCGAGCAAAUCUCAAAAAUAACGUCUCAGUUCGGACUGUAGUCUGCAACCCGACUACACGAAGCUGGAAUCGCUAGUAAUCGCAGAUCAGAAUGCUGCGGUGAAUACGUUCCCGGGUCUUGCACACACCGCCCGUCA